GUUGAAGUGAGACCAAGAACCCACCAAUUCCGGACACAUUGGCCCUCCGAACCCUGAAGAGAUCAUCAUAUAUAUGUGCUGCCGAAGCGAGCACUCCUGAAGAGAUUAACUAAGAGUCUAGCACCUUUUAAGUUAGAAGAGACUGCCCACAUAGGGAGAGUGGCACAGAGGAGAGUAACAUCAAUCAACAGCGAAUAUGCACUUGAUCGCGGUCUAAUCAGCACCAGGCACCUCAGGGCAGCAGUAUUGUCAGACGCAUUGGAACCAGAGGGACUCCAUCUUGAAUAAGGUCUGGGUAAAAUGAGGCUAACACCUACUGGGCUGCAUUCCCAGGAGGUUAAGCAUUCUUAGUCACAGGACAAGAUAGGUCAGCAGGACAAGAUAGAGGUCAUAAAGACCCUGCUGAUAAAACAAUGCCAUAAAGAAGGCAGCCAAAACCUGCCAAAACCAAGGUGGUGAUGAAAGUGACCUCUAGUUGUCCUCACUGCUCACUAUACGCUAAUUAUAAUGCAUUAGCAUACUCAAAGACACUCCCAGCAGCACCACGACAGUUUACAAACGCCAUGGCAACAUUAGGAAGUUACCCUAUAUGGUCUAAAAGGGGAGGAACCCUCAGUUAGGGUAAAUCCCUGCCCUUUUCCUGGAAAACUCAUGAAUGAUCCACCCCUUGUUUAACAUAUAAUCAAGAAAUAACUAUACGUGUACUCAGUUGAACAUCCCGUGCCACUGCUCUGCCUAUGGAGUAGCCAUUCUUUUAUUCUUUUACUUCUCUAAUAAACUUGCUUUCACUUUAC
This 794-nucleotide long non-coding RNA is filed under the name Homo sapiens (human). RNAcentral's name for it is "HSALNT0367569". Lineage: Eukaryota; Metazoa; Chordata; Mammalia; Primates; Hominidae. The record is from RNAcentral.